This 198-nucleotide ribosomal RNA is filed under the name uncultured bacterium. RNAcentral describes it as "partial 16S ribosomal RNA". It matches the Rfam family "Bacterial small subunit ribosomal RNA", at positions 1303 to 1500 of the family's 1533-position model. The record is from RNAcentral.
GGCGUGAAAUUCGCCUUCAUGAAGCCGGAAUUGCUAGUAAUGGCAGGUCAGCAUACUGCCGUGAAUACGUUCCCGGGCCUUGUACACACCGCCCGUCACACCAUGAGAGUUGGGAAUACCCGAAGCCUGUGAGCUAACUUUUAGAGGCAGCAGUCGAAGGUAGAAUCAAUGAUUGGGGUGAAGUCGUAACAAGGUACC